UACAGAGGUCCCGAGCGUUGUUCGGAUUCACUGGGCGUAAAGGGUGCGUAGGUGGUGGGGUAAGUCAGUUGUGAAAUUUCCGGGCUUAACCCGGAAAGGUCAACUGAUACUGCAGGGCUAGAGUGCAGAAGGGGCAACUGGAAUUCUCGGUGUAGCGGUGAAAUGCGUAGAUAUCGAGAGGAACACCUGCGGCGAAGGCGGGUUGCUGGGCUGACACUGACGCUGAGGCGCGAAAGCCAGGGGAGCGAACGGG
This 253-nucleotide ribosomal RNA is filed under the name uncultured bacterium. RNAcentral describes it as "partial 16S ribosomal RNA". It matches the Rfam family "Bacterial small subunit ribosomal RNA", at positions 524 to 776 of the family's 1533-position model. The record is from RNAcentral.